CCUACGGGUGGCAGCAGUGAGGAAUAUUGGUCAAUGGCCGUAAGGCUGAACCAGCGAAGUCGCGUGAGGGAUGAAGGUUCUAUGGUUUGUAAACUUCUUUUAUAGGGGAGUACAGGUACCCACGUAUUGAUAUUUGCAUGUACCCUAUGAAUAAGCAUCGGCUAACCCAGUACCAGCAGCCGCGGUACUACGGAGGAUGCGAGCGGUAGCCGGAUUGAUUGGGUUUAAAGUGUUCGUAGGGUGUUUUUUAAGUCAGGGGUGAAAGUUCGUGGCUGAACGAUAGAAUUGCCGUUGAAACUGGAAGACUGGAGUGUGUUUGAGGUAGGCGGAAUGCGUGGUGUAGGGGUGAAAUGCAUAGAUAUCACGAAGAACUCCGAUUGCGAAGGCAGCUAACUAAGACAUAACUGACACUGAAGAACGAAAGCGUGGGGAUCAAACAGGAUUAGAUACCCUUGUAGUC
Molecule: ribosomal RNA, 460 nt
Filed under: uncultured bacterium
Lineage: Bacteria
Description: partial 16S ribosomal RNA
Rfam family: Bacterial small subunit ribosomal RNA
Source: RNAcentral